AGGCAGUGCUUUGCUAGCUGGCUGUUAUAAUUUUAUUUUAACAGUUGCUAGUUGCACUCCCCU
RNAcentral lists this microRNA precursor (63 nucleotides) under Dasypus novemcinctus (nine-banded armadillo). RNAcentral describes it as "microRNA dno-mir-449c precursor". Its record names the gene dno-mir-449c. The record is from miRBase by way of RNAcentral. Lineage: Eukaryota; Metazoa; Chordata; Mammalia; Cingulata; Dasypodidae.